RNAcentral lists this ribosomal RNA (254 nucleotides) under uncultured bacterium. RNAcentral describes it as "partial 16S ribosomal RNA". It matches the Rfam family "Bacterial small subunit ribosomal RNA", at positions 524 to 776 of the family's 1533-position model. The record is from RNAcentral.
UACGAAGGGGACUAGUGUUAUUCGUCAUGACUGGGCGUAAAGCGUACGUAGGCGGUUGAUUAAGUUUUAAAUAAAAUCCCAAAUUUAAAUGUUGGAAAUGUUUAAAAUACUGAUCGACUAGAGUUUUUAGAGAGAAUAGUGGAAUUUCUAGUAUAGAGGUAAAAUUCGUUAAUAUUAGAAGGAACGCCCGAGGCGAAGGCGACUAUUUGGUUGUAAACUGACGCUAAGGUACGAAAGCAUGGGGAGCAAACAGG